Molecule: ribosomal RNA, 667 nt
Filed under: uncultured bacterium
Lineage: Bacteria
Description: bacterial SSU rRNA
Rfam family: Bacterial small subunit ribosomal RNA
Source: RNAcentral
AACGCUAGCUACAGGCUUAACACAUGCAAGUCGAGGGGCAGCGCAGUGUAGCAAUACAUGGGCGGCGACCGGCGCACGGGUGCGUAACGCGUAUCCAACCUUCCCGAUACUCAGGGAUAGCCUUCCGAAAGGGAGAUUAAUACCUGAUGGUGUUGAAAUUCCGCAUGUUAUUUCAACUAAAGAUUUAUCGGUAACGGAUGGGGAUGCGUGACAUUAGAUAGUAGGCGGGGUAACGGCCCACCUAGUCUACGAUGUCUAGGGGUUCUGAGAGGAAGGUCCCCCACACUGGAACUGAGACACGGUCCAGACUCCUACGGGAGGCAGCAGUGAGGAAUAUUGGUCAAUGGUCGGAAGACUGAACCAGCCAAGUAGCGUGAAGGAUGAAGGUUCCAUGGAUUGUAAACUUCUUUUAUACGGGAAUAAAACCUCCCACGUGUGGGAGCUUGUAUGUACCGUAUGAAUAAGCAUCGGCUAACUCCGUGCCAGCAGCCGCGGUAAUACGGAGGAUGCGAGCGUUAUCCGGAUUUAUUGGGUUUAAAGGGAGCGUAGACGGGAGAUUAAGUCAGUUGUGAAAGGCUGCGGCUCAACCGCAGCACUGCAGUUGAUACUGGUUUCCUUGAGUGCGGUUGAGGUGUAUGGAAUUCGUGGUGUAGCGGUGAAAUGCUUA